CCUACGGGGGGCAGCAGUGAGGAAUAUUGGUCAAUGGACGAGAGUCUGAACCAGCCAAGUAGCGUGAAGGAUGACUGCCCUAUGGGUUGUAAACUUCUUUUAUAUGGGAAUAAAAUGUUCCACGUGUGGGAUUUUGUAUGUACAAUAUGAAUAAGGAUCGGCUAACUCCGUGCCAGCAGCCGCGGUAAUACGGAGGAUCCGAGCGUUAUCCGGAUUUAUUGGGUUUAAAGGGAGCGUAGGUGGAUUGUUAAGUCAGUUGUUAAAGGUUGCGGCUCAACAGUAAAAUUGCAGUUGAAACUGGCAGUCUUGAGUACAGUAGAGGUGGGCGGAAUGCGUGGUGUAGCGGUGAAAUGCUUAGAGAUCACGAAGAACUCCGAUUGCGAAGGCAGCUCACUGGACUGCAACUGACACUGAGGCUCGAAAGUGUGGGUAUCAAACAGGAUUAGAUACCCGGGUAGUC
This 460-nucleotide ribosomal RNA is filed under the name uncultured bacterium. RNAcentral describes it as "partial 16S ribosomal RNA". It matches the Rfam family "Bacterial small subunit ribosomal RNA", at positions 338 to 795 of the family's 1533-position model. The record is from RNAcentral.